RNAcentral lists this ribosomal RNA (492 nucleotides) under uncultured bacterium. Its description in RNAcentral is "partial 16S ribosomal RNA". It matches the Rfam family "Bacterial small subunit ribosomal RNA", at positions 29 to 506 of the family's 1533-position model. The record is from RNAcentral.
ACGAACGCUGGCGGCGUGCUUAACACCUGCAAGUCGAACGGUGAAGCGCCUUCCUUUUUGGUGGGUGUGGAUGAGUGGCGCACGGGUGAGUAACACGUGAGUAACCUGCCCCCUUCUUCUGGAUAACCGCAUGAAAGUGUGGCUAAUACGGGAUAUUCUGGGUCUGUCGCAUGAUGGGUCUGGGAAAGAUAUUGUUUCGGUGGGGGACGGGCUCGCGGCCUAUCAGCUUGUUGGUGGGGUGAUGGCCUACCAAGGCGGUGACGGGUAGCCGGCCUGAGAGGGUGGACGGUCACACUGGGACUGAGACACGGACCAGACUCCUACGGGAGGCAGCAGUGGGGAAUAUUGCACAAUGGGCGCAAGCCUGAUGCAGCGACGCCGCGUGAGGGAUGGAGGCCUUCGGGUUGUGAACCUCUUUCGCCAGUGAAGCAGGCCUGCCUCGUUUGUGGGUGGGUUGACGGUAGCUGGAUAAGAAGCGCCGGCUAACUACGU